Molecule: ribosomal RNA, 726 nt
Filed under: Bacillus sp. 'Mali 19'
Lineage: Bacteria; Bacillati; Bacillota; Bacilli; Caryophanales; Bacillaceae
Description: bacterial SSU rRNA
Rfam family: Bacterial small subunit ribosomal RNA
Source: RNAcentral
CCGAAUUCGUCGACAACAGAGUUUGAUCCUGGCUCAGCCGAAUUCGUCGACAACAGAGUUUGAUCCUGGCUCAGGAUGAACGCUAGCGGCAGGCCUAAUACAUGCAAGUCGAACGGACCUUAACCUUUCGGGGUUUUGGUUAGUGGCGCACGGGUGCGUAACGCGUAUGCAACCUACCUUCCACAGGGGGAUAGCCCGGGGAAACCCGGAUUAAUACCGCAUGACAUCGUUUGAGGGCAUCCGAAGACGAUCAAAGCCGAGGCGGUGGAAGAUGGGCAUGCGUGCCAUUAGCUAGUUGGCGGGGUAAAGGCCCACCAAGGCUACGAUGGCUAGGGGUUCUGAGAGGAUGGUCCCCCACACUGGUACUGAGACACGGACCAGACUCCUACGGGAGGCAGCAGUAGGGAAUAUUGGGCAAUGGCCGAGAGGCUGACCCAGCCAUGCCGCGUGCAGGAAGAAGGCCUUCUGGGUUGUAAACUGCUUUUACCAGGGAAGAAAACGCUCCUGCGGGAGUAACUGACGGUACCUGGUGAAUAAGCACCGGCUAACUCCGUGCCAGCAGCCGCGGUAAUACGGAGGGUGCAAGCGUUGUCCGGAUUUAUUGGGUUUAAAGGGUGCGUAGGCGGCCCGUUAAGUCAGCGGUGAAAUCCCAGGGCUCAACCCUGGAACUGCCGUUGAUACUGGCGGGCUUGAGUUCGGUCGAGGCGGGCGGAACUUGGUGGUGUA